CAUAGAGUUURAUCUGGMUCAGGACGAACGCUGGCGGCGUGCCUAAUACAUGCAAGUCGAGCGACAGAURGGAGCUUGCUCCUGAUGUUAGCGGCGGACGGGUGAGUAACACGUGGGUAACCUGCCUGUAAGACUGGGAUAACUCCGGGAAACCGGGGCUAAUACCGGAUGGUUGUUUGAACCGCAUGRUUCAAACAUAAAAGGUGGCUUCGGCUACCACUUACAGAUGGACCCGCGGCGCAUUAGCUAGUUGGUGAGGUAAYGGCUCACCAAGGCAACGAUGCGUAGCCGACCUGAGAGGGUGAUCGGCCACACUGGGACUGAGACACGGCCCAGACUCCUACGGGAGGCAGCAGUAGGGAAUCUUCCGCAAUGGACGAAAGUCUGACGGAGCAACGCCGCGUGAGUGAUGAAGGUUUUCGGAUCGUAAAGCUCUGUUGUUAGGGAAGAACAAGUACCGUUCGAAUAGGGCGGUACCUUGACGGUACCUAACCAGAAAGCCACGGCUAACUACGUGCCAGCAGCCGCGGUAAUACGUAGGUGGCAAGCGUUGUCCGGAAUUAUUGGGCGUAAAGGGCUCGCAGGCGGUUUCUUAAGUCUGAUGUGAAAGCCCCCGGCUCAACCGGGGAGGGUCAUUGGAAACUGGGGAACUUGAGUGCAGAAGAGGAGAGUGGAAUUCCACGUGUAGCGGUGAAAUGCGUAGAGAUGUGGAGGAACACCAGUGGCGAAGGCGACUCUCUGGUCUGUAACUGACGCUGAGGAGCGAAAGCGUGGGGAGCGAACAGGAUUAGAUACCCUGGUAGUCCACGCCGUAAACGAUGAGURCWARGUGUUAGGGGGUUUCCGCCCCUUAGUAGCUGCAGCUAACCGCCA
This 873-nucleotide ribosomal RNA is filed under the name Bacillus subtilis. RNAcentral describes it as "bacterial SSU rRNA". Lineage: Bacteria; Bacillati; Bacillota; Bacilli; Caryophanales; Bacillaceae. The record is from RNAcentral.